CUUGCUGGGGGUGGAUGAGUGGCGAACGGGUGAGUAACACGUGAGUAACCUGCCCCGAACUCUGGGAUAAGCGCUGGAAACGGCGUCUAAUACUGGAUAUGUCCUAUCACCGCAUGGUGUGUAGGUGGAAAGAAUUUUGGUUCGGGAUGGACUCGCGGCCUAUCAGCUAGAUGGUGAGGUAAUGGCUCACCAUGGCGACGACGGGUAGCCGGCCUGAGAGGGUGACCGGCCACACUGGGACUGAGACACGGCCCAGACUCCUACGGGAGGCAGCAGUGGGGAAUAUUGCACAAUGGGCGCAAGCCUGAUGCAGCAACGCCGCGUGAGGGAUGACGGCCUUCGGGUUGUAAACCUCUUUUAGUAGGGAAGAAGCGAAAGUGACGGUACCUGCAGAAAAAGCACCGGCUAACUACGUGCCAGCAGCCGCGGUAAUACGUAGGGUGCAAGCGUUGUCCGGAAUUAUUGGGCGUAAAGAGCUCGUAGGCGGCUUGUCGCGUCUGCUGUGAAAACCAGAGGCUCAACCUCUGGCCUGCAGUGGGUACGGGCAAGCUAGAGUGCGGUAGGGGAGAUUGGAAUUCCUGGUGUAGCGGUGGAAUGCGCAGAUAUCAGGAGGAACACCGAUGGCGAAGGCAGAUCUCUGGGCCGUAACUGACGCUGAGGAGCGAAAGCAUGGGGAGCGAACAGGAUUAGAUACCCUGGUAGUCCAUGCCGUAAACGUUGGGAAC
This 725-nucleotide ribosomal RNA is filed under the name Actinomycetes bacterium. RNAcentral's name for it is "bacterial SSU rRNA". It matches the Rfam family "Bacterial small subunit ribosomal RNA", at positions 77 to 816 of the family's 1533-position model. Lineage: Bacteria; Bacillati; Actinomycetota; Actinomycetes. The record is from RNAcentral.